GACACACUGGAGUCUCGUAUGGGAGG
This 26-nucleotide non-coding RNA is filed under the name Mus musculus (house mouse). The record is from RNAcentral. Lineage: Eukaryota; Metazoa; Chordata; Mammalia; Rodentia; Muridae.